CAAAUCUAACUUUUGUAACUCUUUGGCGUGUUAAAACCCAAACUUACAAAAUAUUAAACCAUGUGAAUCGCACAAAUGCCCUAAAAAGCAUUUGCUGUAUAAUAUAUUAACGUCUGAUUAAAAUGUCUGAUUAAACACAAAAACAAAAAUA
This 151-nucleotide unclassified non-coding RNA is filed under the name uncultured fungus. RNAcentral's name for it is "sequence contains ITS1, 5.8S rRNA gene". The record is from RNAcentral. Lineage: Eukaryota; Fungi.